UAUAAAAUUGGGUACAACCAAAGAAAUUUGGUGUCACAAAGCUAUAGGGGCUAAGGGUUAUCUAUGCCAGCCAGCUACCAUU
Molecule: non-coding RNA, 82 nt
Filed under: Ureibacillus xyleni
Lineage: Bacteria; Bacillati; Bacillota; Bacilli; Caryophanales; Caryophanaceae
Description: Lysinibacillus xyleni GEMM cis-regulatory element
Rfam family: c-di-GMP-I riboswitch aptamer
About the family: GEMM was predicted in a large-scale screen for bacterial structured RNA regulatory elements. Genes associated with GEMM are involved in a diverse array of functions, including chemotaxis regulation, signal transduction, secretion and chitin.
Source: RNAcentral